This 496-nucleotide ribosomal RNA is filed under the name uncultured bacterium. RNAcentral describes it as "partial 16S ribosomal RNA". It matches the Rfam family "Bacterial small subunit ribosomal RNA", at positions 29 to 507 of the family's 1533-position model. The record is from RNAcentral.
AUGAACGCUGGCGGCGUGCCUAAUACAUGCAAGUCGAGCGAACAGACGAGGAGCUUGCUCCUCUGACGUUAGCGGCGGACGGGUGAGUAACACGUGGAUAACCUACCUAUAAGACUGGGAUAACUUCGGGAAACCGGAGCUAAUACCGGAUAAUAUAUUGAACCGCAUGGUUCAAUAGUGAAAGACGGUUUUGCUGUCACUUAUAGAUGGAUCCGCGCCGCAUUAGCUAGUUGGUAAGGUAACGGCUUACCAAGGCAACGAUGCGUAGCCGACCUGAGAGGGUGAUCGGCCACACUGGAACUGAGACACGGACCAGACUCCUACGGGAGGCAGCAGUAGGGAAUCUUCCGCAAUGGGCGAAAGCCUGACGGAGCAACGCCGCGUGAGUGAUGAAGGUCUUCGGAUCGUAAAACUCUGUUAUUAGGGAAGAACAAAUGUGUAAGUAACUAUGCACGUAUUGACGGUACCUAAUCAGAAAGCCACGGCUAACUACGUG